AGUGAACGCUGGCGGUAGGCCUAACACAUGCAAGUCGAACGGCAGCACAGGAGAGCUUGCUCUCUGGGUGGCGAGUGGCGGACGGGUGAGGAAUACAUCGGAAUCUACUCUGUCGUGGGGGAUAACGUAGGGAAACUUGCGCUAAUACCGCAUACGACCUACGGGUGAAAGCAGGGGAUCUUCGGACCUUGCGCGAUUGAAUGAGCCGAUGUCGGAUUAGCUAGUUGGCGGGGUAAAGGCCCACCAAGGAGACGAUCCGUAGCUGGUCUGAGAGGAUGAUCAGCCACACUGGAGCUGAGACACGGACCAGACUCCUACGGGAGGCAGCAGUGGGGAAUAUUGGACAAUGGGCGCAAGCCUGAUCCAGCCAUACCGCGUGGGUGAAGAAGGCCUUCGGGUUGUAAAGCCCUUUUGUUGGGAAAGAAAUCCAGCUGGCUAAUACCCGGUUGGGAUGACGGUACCCAAAGAAUAAGCACCGGCUAACUUCGUGCCAGCAGCCGCGGUAA
RNAcentral lists this ribosomal RNA (506 nucleotides) under uncultured bacterium. RNAcentral describes it as "partial 16S ribosomal RNA". It matches the Rfam family "Bacterial small subunit ribosomal RNA", at positions 29 to 523 of the family's 1533-position model. The record is from RNAcentral.